UUGUAAGGUGGCCGAGUUUAGGUGUUGGAUUGUAAACCCAAUUACGGGAAUGGAUAGGUUCCCCCUUAUAAA
Molecule: transfer RNA, 72 nt
Filed under: Amphioplus laevis
Lineage: Eukaryota; Metazoa; Echinodermata; Ophiuroidea; Amphilepidida; Amphiuridae
Description: tRNA-Tyr
Rfam family: tRNA
About the family: Transfer RNA (tRNA) molecules are approximately 80 nucleotides in length. Their secondary structure includes four short double-helical elements and three loops (D, anti-codon, and T loops).
Source: RNAcentral